GCCAUAAAGACUCGUCAUAACGAUUCCGAAAUGGUUCGUCAAUUUGCGCAUUCACGGCCGUGUAGUAGAACCUAUUAAAGACUUCCUUAAAGAUGAAGUAAGAGCCUUAGGUCGUGAGCUGGGUUUGCCCGCACAAUUACUGAAACGUUACCCGUUUCCUGGUCCCGGCUUGUCAAUUUGAAUCAUUUACGCCGAAUAGCCGUUCUUGGAAGCUAAUUUCGAUGAGACGCAAGUGCUGAUUCGUUCGAUGGUCCAUUAUGCCAACAUAGCAGCCAAGGAACAUGCCUUGCUCAAUCGGAUUGAAAUCGUGACGUCGGAAGAAGAACGUCUUCUUCUGGGAGAACUGUCUAGUCGUAACCAGUAUGUUGCCACGCUACUGCCUAUUCGCACUGUCGGUGUUCAGGUACAGGAGGUUGCAGAAAAAUGUGUCGGGUAUGGCAAACAAAGCAUAGGGAAAACCGCCACAUUUUUCUGCAAUAUACUGUACAACAGAUUCGCAAUUUAGACGUUGUCGUAAUAAUGCCGCGAUCGUAAUCAGCUCUUAUUCAAGGUAGAUGAUAGGUGCCACCGUAUCUACGCCAAGGUUUUUUUUUCUCUUGUCUAGAUCUUUUAUUGGCCAGUGGGUCCUUGUGAUCAUGGCCAAUGGCUUGAGCCGGAUACCAACGACUAUGGCACCUGUCGCCCUUCGCCUUGCCCAGUAAGCAAAUGCAACGGUCGCCAGAUCUACUGGAAGUCAACACUAAAUUCUGAAGGUGGCUGUUAUAAAUCGUUCACACGUGGGCCUUGCAGGCGAAGUAGCUAUUUCCUCGUUGAAGAAUAUGGCACUCGAAGAGGUCGAUGUGUUUCUCAAUUUGGAUCAUCCUAUGAAUCCUAUGUCCUUCCGUCACGCUAUCCCAGGAUGAGAAACCCUUACGACAUGAUGUACUCCAACAACGCGAUGAGCCCAUGAUCGAAAUUUGGCAUGUAUCCGCCGUUUGGCAUGCAGGAAGAAUAGCGGAGACGACUAUCCUGACAUUCCCAGUUUCGAUUACUGAACUAGAAACAGUUUUACAGAACCAUUCACAUGGUUUUGUCUCUAUUAUUUCAUUUUAAAAAUGUGAUUGCAAAUUUUCUAUUGUGACGUAUGGCGGAUAAAAAACAACCUUGAUUAGUUUUAAUGCAUGAAUUCGUUAGCCAAUAAUAUGUGUAUGAAGAAAAUGUUUUCACUUUGAAACAGAGUCAUGGAACCCAUCGGUUUCCAUGACUCUGCUUUGAAAGUUUGAACAGGGAUUUCUGUUUUACCUUUCUGCGAUGCGGCAACACAGCAUUGCAUGUCGAUCUGCGAACGUUUGACAACUCGCUGGUAUUGCAAUAGGUUAAUAGUUUUGUGUCAAGUAAAUUUCAAGUGCGAGUAACUGCUGGAAGAUUGCAAGCGAAAUCUGCAUGUGUCGUGUCAUUGUUCUAAGUGUUGGAGACUUUUUUCGUUUUGAUUAGGCAUUCAUGUUUGGGAACAAUACCUGAAGUUGGAUAUCGCCUAGUGAUAUUUACAUAUUAAGUCCUAUUUUAAGACACUUGGGGCGAUACGUUUCGCAACAAAGAUCUAUACAGUACUCAAAAGAUGACCCACAAGCACUACGCCACCACGAUUGAGACAAGGUAAAACACAAAACUAUAAAGCGCCAUUUAUCAAUAAUGAAUGAAUUUCCUCAUUCUAACAAUAAUUUAAGAAAAUGUAAAUGUAUACUUAGCUGUGGUAAUUAUUUCGUUUACAUCGACUACACUUCAAUAAUUUACAAGUGGGAAAGUGUUGCCUAUAAGCAACAAGAAGGUAUUGUGCAUGUUUAUGAGCGAAUCAUGGCUUAAUGGGUGAGUGUCGGAUUGUACCGCUGGAUGUUUGUGGAUCAAAUACCAUCAAAGUUUUCUUCACCAUGACAUACUUGGAAUUUAUAUGCCAAUACGUGUAAUCCAUCAAGGACACUGAAUUUCACAACACCUGAAUGGGAUUCGAACCCAAUGUAUAGAGAAUUCCAGUCCACCGCUCUACCAUUGAGCUAUGAGACAUAUUACUGAGAAAUCUAAGUCUUCAACACAUUAAGGGGGGGUUGCCAGGAAGGUAUCGCAUCCGCCUAGCAGCUCCAAGGUCCGUGGUUCGAUUCCACGGAGGUUCCCGAUGUCCUGGGCUUCCAAUCUUCCACGUCUGCCAGUCGGGUCGAGAAACUUCCCCAUUACGAAGUAAUGGGACGGAUAUUUUGGCAAUGUUUAAUAUAAUAUCCAAUAAAAAAUCUUAAUAAAUUGUUCAUUAUGAUUUAUCCGUGUGAAUGCGUAUUUUGUUACUUGAAUACUUUACAACGUACUUUAGCCAUUGGCAUCCUCUGUCGAGAUAUCUCACACAUACUGCUUGAUCAAUAUUUUGUGUAUAUAAGAUUGUAACAUAUAGUCAAUCAACUGAAUCUUUUAA
RNAcentral lists this long non-coding RNA (2437 nucleotides) under Daphnia magna. RNAcentral describes it as "uncharacterized LOC123471149, transcript variant X2". The record is from RNAcentral. Lineage: Eukaryota; Metazoa; Arthropoda; Branchiopoda; Diplostraca; Daphniidae.